This 520-nucleotide ribosomal RNA is filed under the name uncultured Actinomycetes bacterium. RNAcentral describes it as "bacterial SSU rRNA". It matches the Rfam family "Bacterial small subunit ribosomal RNA", at positions 355 to 866 of the family's 1533-position model. Lineage: Bacteria; Bacillati; Actinomycetota; Actinomycetes. The record is from RNAcentral.
UGGGGAAUCUUGCGCAAUGGGCGAAAGCCUGACGCAGCGACGCCGCGUGCGGGAAGAAGGCCUUCGGGUUGUAAACCGCUUUCAGGAGGGACGAAGCCACUCGGGUGAACAGCCCAGAGGGUGACGGUACCUCCAGAAGAAGCCCCGGCUAACUACGUGCCAGCAGCCGCGGUAAUACGUAGGGGGCUAGCGUUGUCCGGAUUUAUUGGGCGUAAAGAGCGUGUAGGCGGCCAGGUAGGUCGGUUGUGAAAACUGGAGGCUCAACCUUCAGAGGUCGACCGAAACCCCCUGGCUAGAGUCCGGGAGAGGAGAGUGGAAUUCCUGGUGUAGCGGUGAAAUGCGCAGAUAUCAGGAAGAACACCCGUGGCGAAAGCGGCUCUCUGGAACGGUACUGACGCUGAGACGCGAAAGCGUGGGGAGCGAACGGGGAUUAGAUACCCUGGUAGUCCACGCCGUAAACGAUGGGCGCUAGGUGUGGGAGGUGUCGACUCCUUCCGUGCCGAAGCUAACGCAUUAAGCG